ACGGCAAUGACUGCUGGGUGAUGCUGCCCCAGGGACCCCAUGGCCAAGUAGGCAGCGCUGUUGCCUCUCCUACCCCCCCAAGCCUGCAGUAUGUGCCACAGGAUGCCAGUGGGCCAUCCUCCCCUUGGCCCAACACCUCCUCAGCUCUAGUAAUGAUGAAAGGAUGGCAUCAGUGGUCACUUGAAGCUGGGUGGAGGUGGUGUCUGAGAAAGGCUGCCAUGGUCAGCAUGAAAGCUAGUGAUUACGUGAGCGGAGUCUCUGCAGAGAGAAGCAGUAACGCAGGCCUCGGCAGCUUCUGGCUUGUUCCAGGGCCCUCCCUGCUCCGCGGGACCACAGCACUCGAUGCCUCCCUGACCCCUGA
Molecule: long non-coding RNA, 361 nt
Filed under: Homo sapiens (human)
Lineage: Eukaryota; Metazoa; Chordata; Mammalia; Primates; Hominidae
Description: HSALNT0234739
Source: RNAcentral